RNAcentral lists this unclassified non-coding RNA (342 nucleotides) under Basidiomycota sp. Its description in RNAcentral is "partial contains small subunit ribosomal RNA, internal transcribed spacer 1, and 5.8S ribosomal RNA". The stretch from base 1 to 47 matches the Rfam family "Eukaryotic small subunit ribosomal RNA", at positions 1785 to 1831 of the family's 1831-position model. Lineage: Eukaryota; Fungi; Basidiomycota. The record is from RNAcentral.
AAAGUCGUAACAAGGUUUCCGUAGGUGAACCUGCGGAAGGAUCAUUAUUGAACUUUGAAUACUUGUGGCUUCGUGGGUCUGUAGCUGGCCUCUUCGGAGGUAUGUGCUCGCCUGCGUCGCUGCAACUUUCUUUGUCCACCUGUGCACCUUUUGUAGGCUUGGAUACCCAUCGCGAAGUAGGCAACUACUGUCCGGUUCUGGAGGGCGUGCAUUCACUUGCUCCCUCUGCUUUCCAAGUCUAUGUCUACACAAACUCUUUUGUAUGUCUAGAAUGUCAUCGUUUAUUGGACGCGAGUCCUAUAAAACUUUAUACAACUUUCAACAACGGAUCUCUUGGCUCUC